Molecule: ribosomal RNA, 468 nt
Filed under: uncultured bacterium
Lineage: Bacteria
Description: partial 16S ribosomal RNA
Rfam family: Bacterial small subunit ribosomal RNA
Source: RNAcentral
GACGAACGCUGGCGGCGUGCUUAACACAUGCAAGUCGAACGGAAAGGCCCUGCUCUUGUUGGUUGCUCGAGUGGCGAACGGGGGAGUAACACGUGAGUAAACUGCCCUUGUCUUUGGGAUAACUUUAGGGAACUGGGGCUAAUAUCGGAUAUGAGCUCCUGCUGCAUGGUGGGGGUUGGAGAGUUGCGGCUGUGGUGGAUGGACUCGCGGCUUAUCAGCUUGUUGGUGUGGUAGUGGCUUACCAAGGCUUUGACGGGUAGCCGGCCUGAGAGGGUGAACGGCCACAUGGGGACUGAGAUACGGCGCAGACUCCAACGGGAGGCAGAAGUGGGGAGUAUUGCACAAUGGGGGGAAGCCUGAUGCAGCAGCGCCGCGUGCGGGAUAACGGCCUUCGGGUUGUAAACCGCUUUCGACUGUGACGAAGCGUGAGUGACGGUAAUGGGUAAAGAAGCACCGGCUAACUACGUG